CUACUGCUUAUCGUGAAGUAUUCUAACUCAGGCGAGACUUCCUUAAUAUUAGAGAUUGCGUACCAGCUGUUGUUAACAAAGGGACACACCCGAUGCUGCUGUUUUGUCCUGCCGAUGCAUAGAAAAAACCACUAGAAUAUUAUCCAUGUCCUUGUUCAGCCAAGUUUCAGAGAAACAUAGGAUAUUACAGUUGUUCAGGUCCUGUUUAUUGGAUAGUCUCAAACGAAGCUCAUCCAGUUUGUUCUCCAGUGAUCAUACAUUAGCCAAUAGAACAGAGGGCAGAGGUGGAUUAUUUACUCGCGUCCGUAGUUUCAUCUGGGUAGCCACAUGUCGGCCUCUACAUUGCUAUCUCUUUCGAGUGUUGUGGAUUAGGGCCUAGUCUGGGGUGAGCAGUAUUUCCUGUGCCACCGACUCAUUGAAGUAGAAAUCUUCAUCCAAUUUGAGGAGGAGGAGGGUCCAAAGGUGCUGCUGGAGGACAACCAGACCACACCUCCUCCUGAAUCCACAGAGGAACCAGCUGAGCAGCACAGGACCACACAGUCCCAUGGAGCCUCCACUGGACUGUAGACUGCCAGUAGACAUGGAGGAUGGGAAGCCUAAUCUGCUGCUAGUCAAACAGGAGACAGAGGAAUAACCAGAGAGCAUUGACCUGCUGAGUGGACUAAAGAUGGGGGAGCAAGGUAAGGGAGAAAUACAUAUAGCUUACAUAAAGUAAUAGAUCUUCAAUGGGAAUAGUGAUGCAUAUGGCAACAAAAAAAUAUUCAUAAAAUAAAAUCAAUACAACUUGUGUUUACAAACAAACACACACAUGAUAUGUAUGAACUUGACCAGGUAAUUGACAAAAAUAAAUCCAUAUACAGUGCAUUUGGAAAUAAUUCAGACCCUUUCUU
Long non-coding RNA from Oncorhynchus gorbuscha (pink salmon), 890 nucleotides. RefSeq lists it as uncharacterized. Lineage: Eukaryota; Metazoa; Chordata; Actinopteri; Salmoniformes; Salmonidae. The record is from RefSeq and is a predicted model, not a curated record. The transcript has 4 exons.